AGUGAACGCUGGCGGUAGGCCUAACACAUGCAAGUCGAACGGCAGCACAGUAAGAGUUUGCUCUUACGGGUGGCGAGUGGCGGAUGGGUGAGGAAUACAUCGGCAUCUUCUUUUUCGUGGGGGAUUACGUAGGGCAACUUCCGCUAAUACCGCAUAUGAUCUACGGGUGAAAGCAGUGGUUCUUCGCACCUUGCGUGUUUGAUUGAGCCGACGCCGGAUUAGCUAGUUGGCGGGGUAAAGGCCCACCAAGGCGACGCUACGUAGCUGAUCUGAGAGGAUGAUCGGCCACACUGGAACUGAGACACGGUCCAGACUCCUACGGGAGGCAGCAGUAGGGAAUAUUGCGCAAUGGGCGCAAGCCUGAUCCAGCCAUACCGCGUGAGUGAAGAAGGCCUUCGGGUUGUAAAACCCUUUUAUUGGGAAAGAAAAACAGCAGAUUAAAACCCCGAUGUUCUGACGGUACCCAAAGAGUAAGCACCGGCUAACUUCGUG
RNAcentral lists this ribosomal RNA (492 nucleotides) under uncultured bacterium. RNAcentral's name for it is "partial 16S ribosomal RNA". It matches the Rfam family "Bacterial small subunit ribosomal RNA", at positions 29 to 507 of the family's 1533-position model. The record is from RNAcentral.